Non-coding RNA from Paramuricea clavata, 269 nucleotides. Lineage: Eukaryota; Metazoa; Cnidaria; Anthozoa; Malacalcyonacea; Plexauridae. The record is from the annotation of a GenBank genome assembly.
GUUUUGAUAUUCUAGUAACUGAAAUUUGCUUUGUGAAUCUUAUGUCCUGUCUUUUAUCUUUAUUUAGUGCUAAACAUUGUGUUGUAAAUACCUUAUUAGAUUUUAAACAUUUUCCAGUGGAUUUCAUUUCCCAGACCCUGUAGAUUUGAGUUGUUGGAAGGCUCGGCUAAACAAGUUAGUGACUGCAGGGGGCGUAGGAAGCAGGGGGAAACGGGCCCCCAACCCAGUGUUUUAUAAGGGGGGAUAAUUUUUUCGAAUCUAGAAGUAUU